GACAGAGGUGCCAAGCGUUAGGCGGAAUCACUGGGCUUAAAGCGUGUGUAGGCGGAUCGUUAAGUACCUUGUGAAAUCCCACGGCUCAACCGUGGAACUGCUGGGUAUACUGGCGAUCUUGAGCCACCUAGGGGCGAGCGGAACAAGCGGUGGAGCGGUGAAAUGCGUAGAUAUCAUUUGGAACGCCAAUGGUGAAAACAGGUAGCUGGGAGUGUGCUGACGCUGAGACACGAAAGCCAGGGGAGCAAACGGG
Molecule: ribosomal RNA, 253 nt
Filed under: uncultured bacterium
Lineage: Bacteria
Description: partial 16S ribosomal RNA
Rfam family: Bacterial small subunit ribosomal RNA
Source: RNAcentral